This 253-nucleotide ribosomal RNA is filed under the name uncultured bacterium. Its description in RNAcentral is "partial 16S ribosomal RNA". It matches the Rfam family "Bacterial small subunit ribosomal RNA", at positions 524 to 776 of the family's 1533-position model. The record is from RNAcentral.
UACAGAGGGGGCAAGCGUUGUUCGGAAUUACUGGGCGUAAAGGGCGCGUAGGCGGCCUGUUAAGUCGAACGUGAAAUCCCCGGGCUCAACCCGGGAACUGCGUCCGAUACUGGCAGGCUUGAAUUCGGGAGAGGGAUGCGGAAUUCCAGGUGUAGCGGUGAAAUGCGUAGAUAUUGGGAGGAACACCAGUGGCGAAGGCGGCUCGCUGGACCGGUUCUGACGCUGAUGCGCGAAAGCGUGGGGAGCAAACGGG